GAGGGUAUAGCUCAGUGGUAGAGCACAUGCUUACCAUGCAUAAGAUCCUGGGUUCAUCCCCAGUACCUCCA
This 71-nucleotide transfer RNA is filed under the name Camelus bactrianus (Bactrian camel). It matches the Rfam family "tRNA". Rfam says of the family: Transfer RNA (tRNA) molecules are approximately 80 nucleotides in length. Their secondary structure includes four short double-helical elements and three loops (D, anti-codon, and T loops). Lineage: Eukaryota; Metazoa; Chordata; Mammalia; Artiodactyla; Camelidae. The record is from Rfam by way of RNAcentral. RNAcentral also lists the same sequence under 2 other names.